UGGGGAAUAUUGGACAAUGGGCGCAAGCCUGAUCCAGCCAUGCCGCGUGAGUGAUGAAGGCCUUAGGGUUGUAAAGCUCUUUCGACGGGGACGAUAAUGACGGUACCCGUAGAAGAAGCCCCGGCUAACUUCGUGCCAGCAGCCGCGGUAAUACGAAGGGGGCUAGCGUUGCUCGGAAUCACUGGGCGUAAAGGGCGCGUAGGCGGACGUUUAAGUCAGAGGUGAAAGCCCAGGGCUCAACCCUGGAAUGGCCUUUGAUACUGGACGUCUUGAGUCUGGUAGAGGUUGGUGGAACUGCGAGUGUAGAGGUGAAAUUCGUAGAUAUUCGCAAGAACACCGGUGGCGAAGGCGGCCAACUGGACCAGAACUGACGCUGAGGCGCGAAAGCGUGGGGAGCAAACAGGAUUAGAUACCCUGGUAGUCCACGCCGUAAACGAUGGAUGCUAGCCGUUGGCCGGUUUACCGGUCAGUGGCGCAGCUAACGCGUUAAGCAUCCCGCCUGGGGAGUACGGCCGCAAGGUUAAAA
Molecule: ribosomal RNA, 526 nt
Filed under: uncultured bacterium
Lineage: Bacteria
Description: partial 16S ribosomal RNA
Rfam family: Bacterial small subunit ribosomal RNA
Source: RNAcentral